Molecule: ribosomal RNA, 537 nt
Filed under: Bengalia peuhi
Lineage: Eukaryota; Metazoa; Arthropoda; Insecta; Diptera; Calliphoridae
Description: partial small subunit ribosomal RNA
Rfam family: Bacterial large subunit ribosomal RNA
Source: RNAcentral
AGCCUGCCCACUGAAAUUUUUAAAUGGCCGCAGUAUACUGACUGUGCAAAGGUAGCAUAAUCAUUAGUCUUUUAAUUGAAGGCUGGUAUGAAUGGUUGGACGAGAUAUUAACUGUUUCAUAAAAAUUUAUAAUAGAAUUUUAUUUUUUAGUCAAAAAGCUAAAAUUUAUUUAAAAGACGAGAAGACCCUAUAAAUCUUUAUAUUUAAAUAAUUAUUAUUUUGUAGAUUUAUUUUGUUAUAAUUAUUGAUAAUAUUUUAUUGGGGUGAUAUUAAAAUUUAAUGAACUUUUAAUUGUUAAAAUCAUUAAUUUAUGAAUAAUUGAUCCAUUAUUAGUGAUUAAAAAAAUAAGUUACUUUAGGGAUAACAGCGUAAUUUUUUUGGAGAGUUCAUAUCGAUAAAAAAGAUUGCGACCUCGAUGUUGGAUUAAGAUAUAAUUUUAGGUGUAGAUGCUUAAAUUUUAAGUCUGUUCGACUUUUAAAUUCUUACAUGAUCUGAGUUCAAACCGGCGUAAGCCAGGUUGGUUUCUAUCUUUAAAAA